RNAcentral lists this ribosomal RNA (253 nucleotides) under uncultured bacterium. RNAcentral's name for it is "partial 16S ribosomal RNA". It matches the Rfam family "Bacterial small subunit ribosomal RNA", at positions 524 to 776 of the family's 1533-position model. The record is from RNAcentral.
UACGAAGGGGGCUAGCGUUGUUCGGAAUUGCUGGGCGUAAAGCGUGCGCAGGCGGCUUCUCAAGUCAGGGGUGAAAGCCCAGAGCUCAACUCUGGAAUUGCCUUUGAGACUGAGUGGCUUGAGUACGGGAGAGGUGAGUGGAAUUCCCAGUGUAGAGGUGAAAUUCGUAGAUAUUGGGAAGAACACCGGUGGCGAAGGCGGCUCACUGGCCCGUAACUGACGCUCAUGCACGACAGCGUGGGGAGCAAACAGG